RNAcentral lists this unclassified non-coding RNA (549 nucleotides) under Hevea brasiliensis (rubber tree). The record is from RNAcentral. Lineage: Eukaryota; Viridiplantae; Streptophyta; Magnoliopsida; Malpighiales; Euphorbiaceae.
UUCACCACAUAAAUUCCACUGAAUAUGCAGAAAAUAGCAAACAAAUGAUUAUAACAUGAAACUUCUUUGGAAAUAUUUGGCGGACUCUGGUGCUGCUGCACAAUAGAAGAAUGCACAUAAAAAUUGUGAGGCAUGACACUUGCUCCAAGAAGACUCAUAAGAGUAAAGGCACUUUCCCCAUUUAACCUUGUCAGCAUGAGAUUCAUAGAAAGUGGGAUUUCAGGUUGACUGAUUAAUACUCCAAGAACCAAAGAGAGCAGUAUAAACCCCGCCAUGCAUAUAUACAGGAACUUUGCCCUGCCAUCUUCCAGAAGGUCAGCAAAAGGGGGAAAUAAAGCAGCAGCAACACCCGUCAAAAGGACACACGUGAAGAGGUCCCACCCAAGUAGAAGAUUAAGUCCAUGUGAAAUGCCCAAGAUCAUGUUAAGGUCUAACAUAAUCACAGAAGCCUCUGCUUGGAUUCCCAGGAAGAAACAUGUACACUUAUCAUACUCCUCGCUGCAAAUCUGGGCAAGACCUCUUCCAGUGACCACACCAAUGCUAGCCGAG